GCCUGGUGUGGUGGCGCUCACCUGCAGUCCCAGCUACUCAGGAGGCUGAGGUGGGAGGACUGCUUGAGCCCAGGAGUUAGAGGCUGCAGUGAGCUGUGAUCACACCACUGCACUCCAGCCUGGGCAACAGAGUAAGACCCUAUCUCUU
Pongo abelii (Sumatran orangutan) is the source of this 148-nucleotide unclassified non-coding RNA. It matches the Rfam family "Metazoan signal recognition particle RNA". Rfam says of the family: The signal recognition particle (SRP) is a universally conserved ribonucleoprotein. It is involved in the co-translational targeting of proteins to membranes. The record is from Ensembl. NCBI's taxonomy places the organism in Eukaryota, Metazoa, Chordata, Mammalia, Primates, Hominidae.